CUACGGGAUGCUCCAGUGGGGAAUAUUGCACAAUGGACGAAAGUCUGAUGCAGCAACGCCGCGUGGAGGAUGACACAUUUCGGUGCGUAAACUCCUUUUAUGUAGGAAGAUAAUGACGGUACUAUAUGGAUAAGCACCGGCUAACUCCGUGCCAGCAGCCGCGGUAAUACGGAGGGUGCAAGCGUUACUCGGAAUCACUGGGCGUAAAGAGCGUGUAGGCGGAUAGAUAAGUCAGGAGUGAAAUUCUAUGGCUCAACCAUAGAACUGCUCUUGAAACUGUCAAUCUAGAGUGUGGGAGAGGUAGAUGGAAUUUCUGGUGUAGGGGUAAAAUCCGUAGAGAUCAGAAGGAAUACCGAUUGCGAAGGCGAUCUACUGGAACAUAACUGACGCUGAGACGCGAAAGCGUGGGGAGCAAACAGGAUUAGAUACCCCCGUAGUC
RNAcentral lists this ribosomal RNA (439 nucleotides) under uncultured bacterium. RNAcentral's name for it is "partial 16S ribosomal RNA". It matches the Rfam family "Bacterial small subunit ribosomal RNA", at positions 339 to 795 of the family's 1533-position model. The record is from RNAcentral.